Molecule: ribosomal RNA, 203 nt
Filed under: Pseudomonas aeruginosa
Lineage: Bacteria; Pseudomonadati; Pseudomonadota; Gammaproteobacteria; Pseudomonadales; Pseudomonadaceae
Description: partial 16S ribosomal RNA
Rfam family: Bacterial small subunit ribosomal RNA (bases 41-203)
Source: RNAcentral
UGAGCCAAGUUUAGGGUUUUCUCAAAACCCAAGCAGUAUUGAACUGAAGAGUUUGAUCAUGGCUCAGAUUGAACGCUGGCGGCAGGCCUAACACAUGCAAGUCGAGCGGAUGAAGGGAGCUUGCUCCUGGAUUCAGCGGCGGACGGGUGAGUAAUGCCUAGGAAUCUGCCUGGUAGUGGGGGAUAACGUCCGGAAACGGGCGC